Gossypium raimondii (Peruvian cotton) is the source of this 132-nucleotide non-coding RNA. The record is from Rfam. Lineage: Eukaryota; Viridiplantae; Streptophyta; Magnoliopsida; Malvales; Malvaceae.
AGGUAAAAUUUUCAUCCAUUUCUACUGUUAAAAACUGGUGUGGUUGAUGGAAUAACCAGACAGUUCCACGUUGCGUGCAUGAUGACAUACAGGAACCAGUUUUAACAGUAGAAAUGAAUAAAUUUUUUAACA